RNAcentral lists this unclassified non-coding RNA (306 nucleotides) under Hevea brasiliensis (rubber tree). Lineage: Eukaryota; Viridiplantae; Streptophyta; Magnoliopsida; Malpighiales; Euphorbiaceae. The record is from RNAcentral.
UUACUGAUUCCAGCUAGUAGCACGAACUCUGCCACGUUUGUGUAUCGAAGCAAGCUCUUCCAUAACCAUUUCGACGAGGUUUUGAACUGAAUAGUUCCGAACGGUGACAUGGCUGAGAGGAUAAGGCACACAACGGAGAAAUGAAUGUGAAUUCGAACGGUUUCUAUGUCGAGAAAAAGCUGUUAAUUGACGGACACAGCAGCACCGGCGGGAGACGGCGAGCGGCGGCGUAGCGGCGGAACGGAAAAUUACGCAGCUGUUCAUGGCGCGAACCGCCAUGGUGUGUGGUCGGGAGCUAGAAAUUGG